RNAcentral lists this ribosomal RNA (456 nucleotides) under uncultured bacterium. Its description in RNAcentral is "bacterial SSU rRNA". It matches the Rfam family "Bacterial small subunit ribosomal RNA", at positions 340 to 786 of the family's 1533-position model. The record is from RNAcentral.
UACGGGAGGCAGCAGUGGGGAAUAUUGCACAAUGGGCGCAAGCCUGAUGCAGCCAUGCCGCGUGUAUGAAGAAGGCCUUCGGGUUGUAAAGUACUUUCAGUCGUGAGGAAGGUGUUAAGGUUAAUAACCUUAGCAAUUGACGUUAGCGACAGAAGAAGCACCGGCUAACUCCGUGCCAGCAGCCGCGGUAAUACGGAGGGUGCGAGCGUUAAUCGGAAUUACUGGGCGUAAAGGGCACGCAGGCGGUUAAUUAAGUUGGAUGUGAAAUCCCCGGGCUUAACCUGGGAAUGGCAUUCAAGACUGGUUAGCUAGAGUCUUGUAGAGGGGGUAGGAAUUCCAUGUGUAGCGGUGAAAUGCGUAGAGAUGUGGAGGAAUACCGGUGGCGAAGGCGGGCCCCUGGGACAAAGACUGACGCUCAUGUGCGAAAGCGUGGGGAGCAAACAGGGAUUAGAUACC